AGGGGAAUAUUGCACAAUGGGGGAAACCCUGAUGCAGCGACGCCGCGUGAACGAAGAAGGUAUUCGUAUCGUAAAGUUCUGUCCUAUGGGAAGAUAAUGACAGUACCAUAGAAGAAAGCUCCGGCUAAAUACGUGCCAGCAGCCGCGGUAAUACGUAUGGAGCGAGCGUUGUCCGGAAUUAUUGGGCGUAAAGGGUACGCAGGCGGUUUAAUAAGUCGAAUGUUAAAGAUCGGGGCUCAACCCCGUAAAGCAUUGGAAACUGAUAAACUUGAGUAGUGGAGAGGAAAGUGGAAUUCCUAGUGUAGUGGUGAAAUACGUAGAUAUUAGGAGGAAUACCAGUAGCGAAGGCGACUUUCUGGACACAAACUGACGCUAAGGUACGAAAGCGUGGGUAGCAAACAGG
This 403-nucleotide ribosomal RNA is filed under the name Actinomycetes bacterium. RNAcentral's name for it is "Actinobacteria bacterium partial 16S ribosomal RNA". It matches the Rfam family "Bacterial small subunit ribosomal RNA", at positions 355 to 776 of the family's 1533-position model. The record is from RNAcentral. Lineage: Bacteria; Bacillati; Actinomycetota; Actinomycetes.